CGGGGUGUAGCGCAGUCCGGUUAGCGCGCGUCGUUCGGGACGACGAGGCCGUAGGUUCGAAUCCUAUCACCCCGA
This 75-nucleotide transfer RNA is filed under the name Ignavibacteriales bacterium CG_4_9_14_3_um_filter_30_11. Its description in RNAcentral is "tRNA-Pro". It matches the Rfam family "tRNA". From Rfam's summary of the family: Transfer RNA (tRNA) molecules are approximately 80 nucleotides in length. Their secondary structure includes four short double-helical elements and three loops (D, anti-codon, and T loops). Further hydrogen bonds mediate the characteristic L-shaped molecular structure. tRNAs have two regions of fundamental functional importance: the anti-codon, which is responsible for specific mRNA codon recognition, and the 3' end, to which the tRNAs corresponding amino acid is attached (by aminoacyl-tRNA synthetases). tRNAs cope with the degeneracy of the genetic code in two manners: having more than one tRNA (with a specific anti-codon) for a particular amino acid; and 'wobble' base-pairing, i.e. permitting non-standard base-pairing at the 3rd anti-codon position. Lineage: Bacteria; Pseudomonadati; Ignavibacteriota; Ignavibacteria; Ignavibacteriales. The record is from RNAcentral.